UGGGGAAUAUUGCACAAUGGGCGCAAGCCUGAUGCAGCCAUGCCGCGUGUAUGAAGAAGGCCUUCGGGUUGUAAAGUACUUUCAGCGAGGAGGAAGGCGUUGUGGUUAAUAACCGCAACGAUUGACGUUACUCGCAGAAGAAGCACCGGCUAACUCCGUGCCAGCAGCCGCGGUAAUACGGAGGGUGCAAGCGUUAAUCGGAAUUACUGGGCGUAAAGCGCAAGCAGGCGGUCUGUCAAGUCGGAUGUGAAAUCCCCGGGCUCAACCUGGGAACUGCAUCCGAAACUGGCAGGCUAGAGUCUUGUAGAGGGGGUUAGAAUUCCAGGUGUAGCGGUGAAAUGCGUAGAGAUCUGGAGGAAUACCGGUGGCGAAGGCGGCCCCCUGGACAAAGACUGACGCUCAGGUGCGAAAGCGUGGGGAGCAAACA
RNAcentral lists this ribosomal RNA (427 nucleotides) under uncultured bacterium. Its description in RNAcentral is "partial 16S ribosomal RNA". It matches the Rfam family "Bacterial small subunit ribosomal RNA", at positions 355 to 774 of the family's 1533-position model. The record is from RNAcentral.